UGUUAUUCAUUAGUUAGUUAUUAUUAGUGAUCUAUUUUAUAAGAGUAUAUAAUUUUGCAUAGCAAAAAUUUGAGAAUAAACUCUGUAUUUGAUGUUUUUUAACAUCAAAACGGCGUCGUUGUGCAUCGUUCUUGUAGUUUAUAGUUAAUGAUGAUGAUGAUACAUUCAUACUGAGAGCGUUGUUAAAACGGCGACGUUUUACGAAAAGGGAAAAAAAAAAAACAAUGCUGCGAGUCUUCUUCUUCUUCGCAAACUCUUCACUCUCUUCUAAUCGCAGAGAGAUCACAGAGAGAAGAGAACGAAUUAGAGCAAUAAGCGAUUUCAGAGAAGAAAGGUUCAGAGAAGAAAGGCCAGUUAGCCCUGUCUGGAGGUAAACCUGCUGAGAAAGUGUCUAUGAUUCAUGAGUCUACGAUGGUCCAGACUAACUGGCCUUUCUCGGGAUACGGAUUCAGGAAGAACAAAUCAUCUCAUAUCCGCUCAGACAUGCUCGACUCUGUUAUACUGGAUGCUUCUUUGAUGGAGAGGGUAAAGAACUUAGCUCAUACGACAGCAAAGACAAAGGACACUCGAGCUCCAUUCCGAAACAUGCUUUUGACUGGACCUCCUGGAACCGGGAAGUCACUUGUUGCUACAGAAAUCGCAAGAAAAUCUGGUAUUGAAUUGUUCAAUUCAAAUUCAAUUGAACAGCUCUGUAUUGUAAUUUGGAAAGGUUAGAGAGGAAAUCGCGCGCGUGGAUCUCACUCGCGGCGAUUUUUCUCUCUCAAACUUUCUACCUCUUCUGAUCACAAUCUCUUGCGCCGCGGUCGGGUUCUCCGUCGAUUCCGGCGACGAUGAGGACCCAGAGGCUCAUGGUUCUUCAUCUGUAACCUGCUACAGCUAUCAUGCAAAUCAAUCUGGCCAGAAUCAAGGGAGCAGUGGAGGAGAGAAGCUUCUGCUCGACAAUGACGGUAAGAGCUCUACCGGCGUUGUAGCGAUGCGGAGUGGAAGACGGAGAUCUACGGUGAGGAACGAAAGAGGCAAGCAGUUAGAUUUGGGGACCGGAGAUUAUGGGUUUAACGGGAUCUUUGUCGAUGGGGGAGGUAGACUCCGAUCCGGCAAAACUAAGCCACCGUCGACGGUCUCUUUUUCUACUCCCUACUGUUUCUCUCUCUCAUGACCGAGCAAAGAUCUCCUCGACAAAGUCAAGAUCGGAUCUCUUCCUCCUUCUCAAUACGGCUCUACGGUAGCGGGAUGGCAACGGAUCUUGGAUCACCAUCUCGUUCGGCUUGCGUCGUCCAGGCUCGCCGGAGGUCCUGUUCCGGCGAGAAUCUGCAGAUUUGGACGGCGGCUUCUAUAAAGUUCUUUGAUAGAAGAUUAGGGUUUCUUCUCAUGACCGGUUUAGUUCGGUUUGUGAAUCCGAGCCGGUUUUCGGUUUUUUGGUUGGUUUGUUAAUGGUUUGUUGUUUGUGGGUUGGGCCUUAGGGAUUUUGAAUGGGCCUAUAUCUGGAAAUAGCUCAUUGGGCACUUAUUUAUAAAAAUUGCAAACCUUUUAUCAAAA
Molecule: long non-coding RNA, 1536 nt
Organism: Arabidopsis lyrata subsp. lyrata
Lineage: Eukaryota; Viridiplantae; Streptophyta; Magnoliopsida; Brassicales; Brassicaceae
Exons: 2
Source: RefSeq, a predicted model, not a curated record